CAGAGAAUAGUUUAUAAAAAAUAUUAAUUUUGGAGAUUAAUGAUAAGGAAGUUUCUUUUCUCUGA
This 65-nucleotide transfer RNA is filed under the name Staphylinidae sp. BMNH 1274641. RNAcentral's name for it is "tRNA-Pro". The record is from RNAcentral. Lineage: Eukaryota; Metazoa; Arthropoda; Insecta; Coleoptera; Staphylinidae.